GAGGGGAAAGACGGGAGAAGAGAAGGGAGUGGUUAAUGCGACUCCUCACUCCUCCCCUCCCGUCUUGUUCUCUC
Cavia aperea (Brazilian guinea pig) is the source of this 74-nucleotide microRNA precursor. The record is from Ensembl. NCBI's taxonomy places the organism in Eukaryota, Metazoa, Chordata, Mammalia, Rodentia, Caviidae.